This 343-nucleotide ribosomal RNA is filed under the name uncultured bacterium. RNAcentral describes it as "partial 16S ribosomal RNA". The record is from RNAcentral.
UAUCACGGCUCAGGAUGAACGCUGGCGGCAUGCCUAAGACAUGCAAGUCGUAACAAGGUAACCGUAAGUCGUAACAAGGUAACCGUAGAGUUUGAUCCUGGCUCAGACUUUGACUUAAAGGAUGGAGAAUGCCUAACCGGGUAACCGUAUGUCUUAACGGGGUACCGUGAAAUUUGAUCACGGGGUAAGAUAAGACUUAGCUCGGGAACCAUAUAAUUUGAUCCUGGGUCACAUAAAUCCUAACAAGGGAACCCUAAGACUUAGCUCGGGAACCAUGAAAUUUGAUCAUGGUUCAUGAAAAAUAAUCUGAAGUCUACGACAAGUUUCUACAGCCUAUGCGAGG